CCAAGAAGUGGAGCUGCUAACCUGGGAUAAACUGACAAGAUCACAGACGGAGUUGGCAGGACUGCGUUCGAUAAGGAUUCGAAUCCACAGGCAUACCAAUGCAAGGCUUGGUUUUUGCUACAUGUCGUGGAGGCAGAAUUCAUCAAGUGAACAGAAAAACAAAAACAAAAAAGCAAAACAGACUUUUCCGCACGAGAUCUGUGUGUUCAGGAGUCAUCAGAAGCAUGCAGAGAACCACCAAGAAUCUGCCCUUGACAUCAGUUUUUGGCUCUGACAACACUUUGGGUGUUCACUGUUGUGGAAGGAACAGCAAAGCACACUUCUUCAU
Thamnophis sirtalis is the source of this 328-nucleotide long non-coding RNA. RefSeq lists it as uncharacterized. NCBI's taxonomy places the organism in Eukaryota, Metazoa, Chordata, Lepidosauria, Squamata, Natricidae. The record is from RefSeq and is a predicted model, not a curated record.